RNAcentral lists this ribosomal RNA (273 nucleotides) under uncultured bacterium. Its description in RNAcentral is "partial 16S ribosomal RNA". It matches the Rfam family "Bacterial small subunit ribosomal RNA", at positions 524 to 796 of the family's 1533-position model. The record is from RNAcentral.
GACGGAGGAUGCAAGUGUUGUCCGGAAUCACUGGGCGUAAAGCGUCUGUAGGUGGUUUAAAAAGUCUGCUGUUAAAAGUUGAAGCUUAACUUCAAAGAUGCCGUAGAAACUUUUAAACUUGAGGAUGGUAGGGGUAGAGGGAAUUUCCAGUGGAGCGGUGAAAUGCGUAGAUCUUGGAAAGACCACCAAUGGCGAAGGCACUCUACUGGGCCAUUACUGACACUGAGAGACGAAAGCUAGGGGAGCAAAUGGGAUUAGAAACCCCCGUAGUCC